Molecule: ribosomal RNA, 396 nt
Filed under: uncultured Babesia
Lineage: Eukaryota; Apicomplexa; Aconoidasida; Piroplasmida; Babesiidae
Description: SSU rRNA
Rfam family: Eukaryotic small subunit ribosomal RNA
Source: RNAcentral
CCUGACACAGGGAGGUAGUGACAAGAAAUAACAAUACAGGGCUAAUGUCUUGUAAUUGGAAUGAUGGUGACCCAAACCCUCACCAGAGUAGCAAUUGGAGGGCAAGUCUGGUGCCAGCAGCCGCGGUAAUUCCAGCUCCAAUAGCGUAUAUUAAACUUGUUGCAGUUAAAAAGCUCGUAGUUGAAUUUUAGCGUGUUCGAGUUUGCCAUUCGUUUGGCUUUUUCGAGUUCGCUUUUGGGUUUUCCCUUUUUACUUUGAGAAAAUUAGAGUGUUUCAAGCAGACUUUUGUCUUGAAUACUUCAGCAUGGAAUAAUAGAGUAGGACUUUGGUUCUAUUUUGUUGGUUAUUGAACCUUAGUAAUGGUUAAUAGGAACGGUUGGGGGCAUUCGUAUUUAA